GGUUGUGACUCAGUGGUAGAGCACUUGCCUAGCAUGUGUGAGGCCCUGGGUUCAAUCCUCAGCACCA
Molecule: transfer RNA, 67 nt
Filed under: Marmota monax (woodchuck)
Lineage: Eukaryota; Metazoa; Chordata; Mammalia; Rodentia; Sciuridae
Description: tRNA.Ala
Source: RNAcentral